Molecule: transfer RNA, 72 nt
Filed under: Octopus vulgaris (common octopus)
Lineage: Eukaryota; Metazoa; Mollusca; Cephalopoda; Octopoda; Octopodidae
Also listed under: 1 other name
Rfam family: tRNA
About the family: Transfer RNA (tRNA) molecules are approximately 80 nucleotides in length. Their secondary structure includes four short double-helical elements and three loops (D, anti-codon, and T loops).
Source: Rfam by way of RNAcentral
GGUCUCAUGGUGUAAUGGUUAGCACUCUGGACUCUGAAUCCAGCGAUCCGAGUUCGAGUCUCGGUGAGACCU